RNAcentral lists this ribosomal RNA (283 nucleotides) under Alcanivorax sp. HI0013. RNAcentral describes it as "partial 16S ribosomal RNA". It matches the Rfam family "Bacterial small subunit ribosomal RNA", at positions 1 to 282 of the family's 1533-position model. The record is from RNAcentral. Lineage: Bacteria; Pseudomonadati; Pseudomonadota; Gammaproteobacteria; Oceanospirillales; Alcanivoracaceae.
UAACUGAAGAGUUUGAUCAUGGCUCAGAUUGAACGCUGGCGGCAGGCCUAACACAUGCAAGUCGAGCGGAAACGAUGGUAGCUUGCUACCAGGCGUCGAGCGGCGGACGGGUGAGUAACGCGUGAGAAUCUGCCCAUUUGUGGGGGAUAACUCGGGGAAACUCGAGCUAAUACCGCAUAAUCCCUACGGGGGAAAGCAGGGGACCUUCGGGCCUUGUGCAGAUGGAUGAGCUCGCGUCGGAUUAGCUUGUUGGUGAGGUAAAGGCUCACCAAGGCGACGAUCC